RNAcentral lists this unclassified non-coding RNA (213 nucleotides) under plant metagenome. RNAcentral's name for it is "partial contains small subunit ribosomal RNA, internal transcribed spacer 1, and 5.8S ribosomal RNA". The record is from RNAcentral.
UUUCCGUAGGUGAACCUGCGGAAGGAUCAUUCAUAAUAAGUGUUUUAUGGCACUUUAUUAAAUCCAUAUCCACCUUGUGUGCAAUGUCAGGGUUGAUUUUUCUCUCGAGAGGAUCAACCCCAAACAUCAACUAUAUCUCAACUCUUUGUCUGAAAAAUAUUAUGAAUAAAACAAUUCAAAAUACAACUUUCGACAACGGAUCUCUUGGCUCUC